Fukomys damarensis (Damara mole-rat) is the source of this 597-nucleotide long non-coding RNA. RefSeq lists it as uncharacterized. NCBI's taxonomy places the organism in Eukaryota, Metazoa, Chordata, Mammalia, Rodentia, Bathyergidae. The transcript is spliced from 3 exons. The record is from RefSeq and is a predicted model, not a curated record.
GAACGCAGAGCCCCGGGGAUUGAGGGUGGUGAGCUCAGGAGCCUUAACUCAAAACUGAACCAUGAAUUCAGGCACGCUGUCAGCACCUUGGACAGACACCAGGGCCCGCACUAUCCUCGAAGGGCAGUCUUUUAAGAACCUGGAAUAACUGGGGAUUUAGCUCAGUGGUUCUGGAAUCUGCCUUGCAAACGGAAGGACCCGAGUUUGAUCCCCCAAAAAAGAGCCUGGAACAGUCAAAAACUGGAACUCUACUUCAAACUGUGACAGGCUAAUAUUUGGAUGAGCUGAGUGAACCUGUGGAGGCACUAAAUGUCAACGGUGGUUGUGAAAAGCAGUGUAAAUUUACAGGCACAUUUUUCUUUACCUAAAACCAGAUGAAGUUUCUUGAACAGAGGUGCAUAUGCAUGAGGGGAGGAAAUGCUCUGGUCAAAAGAAUGUGCCCUGAAGACAAAUACAAAGACUGACAAUGGAAUUUAUUGAGUGCUCAAGGAGAGAUUUGGACACAAAUGCACACAGGAAAAAGACUAUGCAGAGAUGAAGGCAGAGGUGGAGUGAUACAUCUACCACUCAAGGAACACGAAAGAUUGCCAGCAAUCA